RNAcentral lists this ribosomal RNA (253 nucleotides) under uncultured bacterium. RNAcentral describes it as "partial 16S ribosomal RNA". It matches the Rfam family "Bacterial small subunit ribosomal RNA", at positions 524 to 776 of the family's 1533-position model. The record is from RNAcentral.
UACGUAGGUGGCAAGCGUUGUCCGGAUUUACUGGGUGUAAAGGGCGUGUAGCCGGGCUGACAAGUCAGAUGUGAAAUCCGGGGGCUCAACCCCCGAACUGCAUUUGUAACUGUUGGUCUUGAGUAUCGGAGAGGCAGGCGGAAUUCCUAGUGUAGCGGUGAAAUGCGUAGAUAUUAGGAGGAACACCAGUGGCGAAGGCGGCCUGCUGGACGACAACUGACGGUGAGGCGCGAAAGCGUGGGGAGCAAACAGG